UACGGGGGGGGGCAAGCGUUGUUCGGAUUUACUGGGCGUAAAGAGCGCGCAGGCGGUCGUCCAAGUCGCGUGUGAAAGCCCCCGGCUCAACUGGGGAGGGUCACGCGAUACUGGUCGACUCGAAGGCAGGAGAGGGUAGUGGAAUUCCCGGUGUAGUGGUGAAAUGCGUAGAUAUCGAGAGGAACACCUGCGGCGAAGGCGGGUUGCUGGGCUGAUACUGACGCUGAGGCGCGAAAGCUAGGGGAGCGAACGGG
RNAcentral lists this ribosomal RNA (254 nucleotides) under uncultured bacterium. Its description in RNAcentral is "partial 16S ribosomal RNA". It matches the Rfam family "Bacterial small subunit ribosomal RNA", at positions 524 to 776 of the family's 1533-position model. The record is from RNAcentral.